GGAUUUUGUGAUCAUGACCUGUUUGC
RNAcentral lists this non-coding RNA (26 nucleotides) under Rattus norvegicus (Norway rat). Lineage: Eukaryota; Metazoa; Chordata; Mammalia; Rodentia; Muridae. The record is from RNAcentral.